CUUAACGGCACACAGACUCAUUAAAGAUAAAACCGUUCUCUCUCAUUCCCCAAAAUAAGGAAGAAAAAGAAAUUUUCAGAGCGCAAAUAUCGUUCACUCAACUCGGUAUUGUCAAAUUCGGAAAAUGACAUGCCAAAUGAUACAUUCGUGGAGGUUUAACGAGCUAGUGGGUGCUUUUCUGGAUCUUGCAAUAGCCUAUCUUUUACUUUGUGCUGCAGCUGUUGCCUUUUUUACCUCCAAAUUUGUGAGUUUGUUUGGAUUGUGUCUGCCAUGCCCUUGUGAUGGGUUUUUUGGGACCCCCAGGAAAAGUCACUGCUUUCAAAGGCAAUUCGCAGAUGCCCCAUGUGAGAAAAUCUCUGCAGUUCAAUGGGCAGUGAAGAGCAAGUUCCCUUUUGAUGUACUAUGGUCUGAAGACUCAAAUAUCAAUUCUAAGUCCAAGUUCGUAAAUGAGACAUAUUAUGAGAAUGGGCAUUUUGAGUUUGAAGGUGAAGCGUCAUGUAGCUCAUUGUCAGAAAGGAGGUUGCUAGAUAUGGUUGGGAGUGAUUCAGUUGCCGAGAAUGAACAGAGUGUUGAGUUUGGUGUAGCAAACUUGGAAGCUGGGAAGGAACAACAUUUUGAACUUAAGCCAAAGAAGGUUUCGGGUCGAAGGCCGAGA
Prunus avium (sweet cherry) is the source of this 655-nucleotide non-coding RNA. The record is from RefSeq and is a predicted model, not a curated record. NCBI's taxonomy places the organism in Eukaryota, Viridiplantae, Streptophyta, Magnoliopsida, Rosales, Rosaceae.